RNAcentral lists this transfer RNA (69 nucleotides) under Bruchinae sp. GENSP01. RNAcentral's name for it is "tRNA-Met". It matches the Rfam family "tRNA". From Rfam's summary of the family: Transfer RNA (tRNA) molecules are approximately 80 nucleotides in length. Their secondary structure includes four short double-helical elements and three loops (D, anti-codon, and T loops). The record is from RNAcentral. Lineage: Eukaryota; Metazoa; Arthropoda; Insecta; Coleoptera; Chrysomelidae.
AAAAAGAUAAGCUAAUUAAGCUAUUGGGUUCAUACCCCAUAUAUGAAGGUUCUAACCCUUCUCUUUUUA